This 97-nucleotide small RNA is filed under the name Klebsiella pneumoniae. Its description in RNAcentral is "partial RtT sRNA". It matches the Rfam family "RtT RNA", at positions 49 to 130 of the family's 130-position model. From Rfam's summary of the family: This family represents a bacterial cis-regulatory element known as RtT RNA. Lineage: Bacteria; Pseudomonadati; Pseudomonadota; Gammaproteobacteria; Enterobacterales; Enterobacteriaceae. The record is from RNAcentral.
UCAGCAUUUAACUCAGAUGCUGAACGUGAAGGAUAACGUUGCGUCAGCAACGGCCCGAAGGGCGAGGCAAAGCCGAGUCAUCCUGCACGACCUACCA